GGGGCCGACCGGAAUUGACAGCUUGUGCAUGUCGCGAGUAAGCGUGUCGGGAGUUGGAUGAAUCUCCCGUCAAAAAGCCGUCCAAAACACAACUGGCGAGUAUAGCUACGCCAUGGCUGCUUAGUCUAGGUACUAAGUAAUGUCAUCGUCCCGCACCUGUACUCCUUCUCACGGGUGAGUUCGGGGCGUCGUAAGAGUUAGGAUAGCGUCGGAGGAGGUGUGACUUCGGCGUGAAACCCAACUGCAUCUAAGGGGAAAUCAAGGGCCUGAUGUGCGCCUGGUUUUUCACGAAAAUUCAAGCACAGAUACACCCGUAGAAAGCUCGACGACUUCCUUGUCUGGACCAGGGUUCGAAUCCCUGCGGCUCCACUG
Molecule: transfer-messenger RNA, 372 nt
Filed under: Hymenobacter sp.
Lineage: Bacteria; Pseudomonadati; Bacteroidota; Cytophagia; Cytophagales; Hymenobacteraceae
Rfam family: transfer-messenger RNA
About the family: Bacterial tmRNA, also known as 10Sa RNA or SsrA, is named for its dual tRNA and mRNA-like properties. Its role is to liberate the mRNA from a stalled ribosome.
Source: RNAcentral